Molecule: microRNA, 21 nt
Filed under: Solanum tuberosum (potato)
Lineage: Eukaryota; Viridiplantae; Streptophyta; Magnoliopsida; Solanales; Solanaceae
Description: stu-miR171b-5p
Gene: stu-miR171b-5p
Source: miRBase by way of RNAcentral
AGAUAUUGAUGUGGCUCAAUC